AUUAUGUCUUAUGGUGUUACAAGGCAUCGACAUGUUCCAGAGAUUGAACAGGGACUGUCCCAUGCUGCACAUUCAAAAGUAACCGUCAGUUUUACACCACACUUGAUGCCAAUGAGCCGUGGGAUGCAGUCGACUAUAUAUGUGGAAAUGGCUCCAGGAGUUACAGCUGAGGAUUUGUACCAGCAAUUGAAGGUUUCAUAUGAGGAUGAAGAAUUUGUUAAGUUAUUGGAG
RNAcentral lists this unclassified non-coding RNA (231 nucleotides) under Hevea brasiliensis (rubber tree). Lineage: Eukaryota; Viridiplantae; Streptophyta; Magnoliopsida; Malpighiales; Euphorbiaceae. The record is from RNAcentral.